This 548-nucleotide ribosomal RNA is filed under the name uncultured bacterium. Its description in RNAcentral is "bacterial SSU rRNA". It matches the Rfam family "Bacterial small subunit ribosomal RNA", at positions 355 to 896 of the family's 1533-position model. The record is from RNAcentral.
UGGGGAAUUUUGGACAAUGGGGGCAACCCUGAUCCAGCCAUGCCGCGUGAGUGAAGAAGGCCUUCGGGUUGUAAAGCUCUUUCGGCCGGAACGAAAUCGCGUACGUGAAUAACGUGCGUGGAUGACGGUACUGGAAGAAGAAGCACCGGCUAACUACGUGCCAGCAGCCGCGGUAAUACGUAGGGUGCGAGCGUUAAUCGGAAUUACUGGGCGUAAAGCGUGCGCAGGCGGUUCUGCAAGUCAGAUGUGAAAUCCCCGGGCUUAACCUGGGUACUGCGUUUGAAACUACGGAGCUAGAGUACGGCAGAGGGGGGUGGAAUUCCACGUGUAGCAGUGAAAUGCGUAGAUAUGUGGAGGAACACCGAUGGCGAAGGCAGCCCCCUGGGCCGAUACUGACGCUCAGGCACGAAAGCGUGGGGAGCAAACAGGAUUAGAUACCCUGGUAGUCCACGCCCUAAACUAUGUCAACUAGUUGUCGGGGAAGCAAUUCCUUGGUAACGAAGCUAACGCGUGAAGUUGACCGCCUGGGGAGUACGGUCGCAAGAUUA